Molecule: ribosomal RNA, 550 nt
Filed under: uncultured Glomeromycotina
Lineage: Eukaryota; Fungi; Glomeromycota
Description: SSU rRNA
Rfam family: Eukaryotic small subunit ribosomal RNA
Source: RNAcentral
UUGGAGGGCAAGUCUGGUGCCAGCAGCCGCGGUAAUUCCAGCUCCAAUAGCGUAUAUUAAAGUUGUUGCAGUUAAAAAGCUCGUAGUUGAAUUUCGGGAUUCUACCGUUGGUCGGGCUAACAAGUCUGUACUGGUGUGUAGAAUUUCUACCUUCUGGGGAACUAUCAUGUUAUUAAUUUAGCGUGGUGGGAAACCAGGACCUUUACCUUGAAAAAAUUAGAGUGUUUAAAGCAAGCAUUAGCUUGAAUACAUUAGCAUGGAAUAAUGAAAUAGGACGUUUGAUCCUAUUUCGUUGGUUUCUAGGAUCGACGUAAUGAUUAAUAGGGAUAGUUGGGGGCAUUAGUAUUCAAUUGUCAGAGGUGAAAUUCUUGGAUUUAUUGAAGACUAACUACUGCGAAAGCAUUUGCCAAGGAUGUUUUCAUUAAUCAAGAACGAAAGUUAGGGGAUCGAAGACGAUCAGAUACCGUCGUAGUCUUAACCAUAAACUAUGCCGACUAGGGAUCGGAUGAUGUUAAUUUUUUAAUGACUCAUUCGGCGCCUUACGGGAAAC